RNAcentral lists this ribosomal RNA (429 nucleotides) under Chloroflexota bacterium. Its description in RNAcentral is "Chloroflexi bacterium partial 16S ribosomal RNA". It matches the Rfam family "Bacterial small subunit ribosomal RNA", at positions 355 to 776 of the family's 1533-position model. The record is from RNAcentral. Lineage: Bacteria; Bacillati; Chloroflexota.
UGGGGAAUUUUGCACAAUGGGCGCAAGCCUGAUGCAGCCAUGCCGCGUGUGUGAAGAAGGCCUUCGGGUUGUAAAGCACUUUCAGCGGGGAGGAAGGCGUUAAGGUUAAUAACCUUGGCGAUUGACGUUACCCGCAGAAGAAGCACCGGCUAACUCCGUGCCAGCAGCCGCGGUAAUACGGAGGGUGCAAGCGUUAAUCGGAAUUACUGGGCGUAAAGCGCACGCAGGCGGUCUGUCAAGUCGGAUGUGAAAUCCCCGGGCUCAACCUGGGAACUGCAUUCGAAACUGGCAGGCUAGAGUCUUGUAGAGGGGGGUAGAAUUCCAGGUGUAGCGGUGAAAUGCGUAGAGAUCGGGAGGAAUACCGGUGGCGAAGGCGGCCCCCUGGACAAAGACUGACGCUCAGGUGCGAAAGCGUGGGGAGCAAACAGG